ACACGCCCCCCGAGCCACGUCCUUCCCUUUAACCCCGAAGUGGGUGGGCAGGUGGGACAGGUACAGGUGUGAACAGGUGUGAUGGGUGCAGGUGAGAUGGGUGCAGGUGAGAUGGGUACAGGUGUGCCAGGUGUGAUGGGUACAGGUGUGAACAGGUGUGAUGGGUGCAGGUGUGACGGGUACAGGUGUGACGGGUACAGGUGAGAUGGGUACAGGUGUGCCAGGUGUGAUGGGCAUAGGUGUGAUGGGUACAGGUGUGAACAGGUGUGAUGGGUACAGGUGUGAUGGUACAGGUGUGAACAGGUGUGCUGGGCACAGGUGUGACGGACACCACAGGUGCGAUGCCCACCCCAAUCCAUGCAACAGCUGCCACAGGUGUGUUGCAGGUGUGCCA
RNAcentral lists this long non-coding RNA (394 nucleotides) under Lonchura striata (white-rumped munia). Its description in RNAcentral is "domestica (Bengalese finch) lncRNA (ENSLSDG00000006474.1)". Lineage: Eukaryota; Metazoa; Chordata; Aves; Passeriformes; Estrildidae. The record is from RNAcentral.